RNAcentral lists this ribosomal RNA (429 nucleotides) under Acidobacteriota bacterium. RNAcentral describes it as "Acidobacteria bacterium partial 16S ribosomal RNA". It matches the Rfam family "Bacterial small subunit ribosomal RNA", at positions 355 to 776 of the family's 1533-position model. Lineage: Bacteria; Pseudomonadati; Acidobacteriota. The record is from RNAcentral.
UGGGGAAUUUUGGACAAUGGGGGAAACCCUGAUCCAGCCAUCCCGCGUGUGCGAUGAAGGCCUUCGGGUUGUAAAGCACUUUUGGCAGGAAAGAAACGUCAUGGGUUAAUACCCCGUGAAACUGACGGUACCUGCAGAAUAAGCACCGGCUAACUACGUGCCAGCAGCCGCGGUAAAACGUAGGGUGCAAGCGUUAAUCGGAAUUACUGGGCGUAAAGCGUGCGCAGGCGGUUCGGAAAGAAAGAUGUGAAAUCCCAGAGCUCAACUUUGGAACUGCAUUUUUAACUACCGGGCUAGAGUGUGUCAGAGGGAGGUGGAAUUCCGCGUGUAGCAGUGAAAUGCGUAGAUAUGCGGAGGAACACCGAUGGCGAAGGCAGCCUCCUGGGAUAACACUGACGCUCAUGCACGAAAGCGUGGGGAGCAAACAGG